CUGCGGAAGAUCAUUGUCGAAACCUGCCCAGCAGAAAGACCCGUGAACAUGUUACAACACUUGGGGGGGCGAGGGGUGCCAUGUGCCUCGAGCCCCCCAUGCCGAGUGCGUGUGGCUUUGCCCCACGUCCUAGGCCACUAACCAACCCCGGCGCGGAAUGCGUCAAGGAAACAUAAAUAAACGAGCUUCUACUGCGGCCCCAGACUUGGUGCUUGCCGCAGCAGACGUGUCGUGUUAAGCUAAAGUUUAAAACGACUCUCGGCAACGGAUAUCUCGGCUCUCGCAUCGAUGAAGAACGUAGCGAAAUGCGAUACUUGGUGUGAAUUGCAGAAUCCCGUGAACCAUCGAGUCUUUGAACGCAAGUUGCGCCCGAAGCCAUUCGGCCGAGGGCACGUCUGCCUGGGCGUCACACACCGUUGCCCCCCUAAAUUCCUUUGAUAGGGACUACGGGUGGCGGAUGUUGGCCUCCCGUGGGCCUUGACUCGCGGUUGGUCUAAAAUUGAGUCCUCGGUCGCGGUUGCCGUGGCAAUAGGUGGUCGUCGAUCAUUCGGUGCCCUGUCACGUGCUCUGGACAAAAGCAUCGAGAGACCUUGCAAACAUGACCCCGAUGCACCCCACGUAGGUGCUUACAACGCGACCCCAGGUCAGGCG
This 651-nucleotide ribosomal RNA is filed under the name Prainea limpato. Its description in RNAcentral is "eukaryotic LSU rRNA". The stretch from base 254 to 409 matches the Rfam family "5.8S ribosomal RNA". Lineage: Eukaryota; Viridiplantae; Streptophyta; Magnoliopsida; Rosales; Moraceae. The record is from RNAcentral.